This 161-nucleotide non-coding RNA is filed under the name uncultured Mediterraneibacter sp. RNAcentral's name for it is "Glycine riboswitch". It matches the Rfam family "Glycine riboswitch aptamer", at positions 9 to 86 of the family's 94-position model. Rfam says of the family: This family represents the bacterial glycine riboswitch. Glycine riboswitches usually consist of two metabolite-binding aptamers domains with similar structures in tandem. The record is from RNAcentral. Lineage: Bacteria; Bacillati; Bacillota; Clostridia; Lachnospirales; Lachnospiraceae.
AGUACUCAGGAGAGUCCCUUUUACAGUCCUGUGCGGGUCAGUGGACUGGCAUAUCUGUAGAAGGGCGCCGAAGGUGUAAGCGUUGAUACUCUGGUAUUCCUGCUCUUGUAGGAAAGCGGAGCAAAAACGUGAGUCUCUCAGGCAAAAGGAUGGAGGUAUAA